Molecule: non-coding RNA, 5310 nt
Organism: Dermacentor albipictus
Lineage: Eukaryota; Metazoa; Arthropoda; Arachnida; Ixodida; Ixodidae
Source: RefSeq, a predicted model, not a curated record
UAUGCAUGGGAAUGCCGGUAUAUUGUGGAUUCGGAUUGGCAUCGUUCUCGUAGAGACAGGACACCUUGAAGACGCGCUUGGCAAGUACGUUCCGUCUGUCACAAUGAUUCAUUUUCUACUAGAACAGCACGUGAAAAGCUCCUUUAGCUUUAUUAUUACGCGAAAACAUGUUUUGUUUAACUAUGGGAACUUGUUAUUGUGUGUACGACUACAUGUUACGUAAAAAGUAUCAGCGGGCCGCUAAAGUUGGAGGACAGACGACAAGGUUCGCGCUCGCUUUGCAACAGUUGGUCGUCUGUUCUUGCUUUCUUCGCUUGGUCAUGCAUCAUGGCCUGUGCCUGCACCAUGGAGCAGUGCUUCUAAAGCAUCACAAACAUACGAGACGCGCACAUGUAGGCGAGAACUAUUGCGGUGCACAGCCAGCACCCAGACGACACAGGAUGAGUGCAGCCUUCCUGCGACAUCCAAGACUGGCACGCAAACCGCAACAAUCCUGUGCACAGUUUCUACCCAGACACAGCAGCACCACAGUUCUGGAAGGAAUGCUGGGCUUGGAAAGGGCAAGAAAAAAGGGAGAAAACGAGAGGCAUCCUGAAGUCGUGGCGCUGAGACAUGCACCAGACCAGCUGACUGCGGAGCUGACCAUGCGGUUCAUGGAGAAUAAUGAUGUACUCUGCGCAGUCGGCACCCUCCAGCCCUCGACAACCAGUGCGGAGAAGGACUCGGAAGCAAACGGACGCAUCGUGCCGCGGACUCGUGUGACGUGGUGGGAACACUGUCGACGGCCUCACGCCAGGCACUCGGUUUUCCUGUGCAAUGCACCCAUUUCGACAUACACUUCAAGCAAGGAAACAGCCAUCGCCAGCUGCGAGGUACGUCGCAUCCAAGGAACAUCGUGGCAGCUUGCUACUUCCGGACUGGAGCAUGCGCACGGAACAGCACCGAUAACGACAGUGACAUCCCAGCGCAGCAGCUAUAUAAGUGCAGUCGGCACGCAGCAAUCCUGUGGGCAUGGCGAAAGUGCUGUCAUGAAGACUGAACCGGUCAUUCUGUUGUUACAGUGACUCACGGCGCGGCACCCACUCCAGUCAACAGGCAGAGCGGGCAUGCAUGGCUGUAUAGAAUCGUCACCAGCAUGCCGGGAAGAACCUCCAUGCUGCUUUCCGCCCGUCCAUGGACUGCGUGGACAGCAGUCCCUCCACGAACCUUCGGCCACGAGGGGCGAUCACUCAGAGCAGGCCCUCUUCUUUGGUUCAGCCGGCAUAAUCUUGGACAUGUGCAGCAGAUACCACUGGUCGCCGCUAAACACUACCGCCCCCGCCCGUGACCAGGGCUCAGCUGUCCCCCUGCCGGCUACGUCGGUUGGGGUGUGACGUCACCAUCUGCUGAAUUAUAAAGGACUUGAGUCACUCAUUUGCCUUCACUGGGCACGGUGGUUCCGCACCAGGACUUGACACUGAACAUGCCUCCACUCCUGUUUUUUUUUUCAGGCUGGUUGUUGUUCUUGCCGUAGUGACAAUCCUAUGUUAUUGGUUCUACCGUGCCCAAAGUGUUGCGUUGAAAUGGCGUAUGAGUGUGUUCACGUAUGUAAACUGCUCUUAUGUGGUGACGUGAAAAGCAAUCCAGUUCCCAGUGUUCAAAACAUGUUCGUUCAAAUUAUAGAAAAGCAUAGCCAAAUUUAAAAAGAUAUUUUUGAUUUGAAAGAUUUUCAAGAAAAACUUAACGCAUCCCUUAAAACUCUGUCCGCUACAUUAGUCUACGAGUGGCGCAACGUGUUGUCAAUUUAGCAGUCAGCAUUGAUAGGAUAACGCCAAUCGAACAGCACGUGAAAUAUAUUCACCAGUCGUUUAACAUGGAACGGAGGAAGGUUACUGAUAUCGAAGACCAUAGCCGCCGUUCCUAUCUGAUUAUCCAUGGAAUUCCUGAAGAUGAAAAAGAAAGUGAAAAAAACGCUCAGAGAUAAGUUGCUCAUCGAUAUAUUUAAGAAAAAUUUAGGGUUGCAAACUUCCUCGGUGGGUCGAAUUCACAGGCUCGGAAAAACGACCAGUAAGGAACGUCCAGUUAUCCUUUGUUUACAAAUUUAUUUAGGAAAGAAAAGCAUGUGUUCCAAUGUAAGAAAACUUUUCAUCACGAAUUACUAUUCGAAAGAAACCUUAAGAAAGCGUAAGUUACUUUGGGAAUUAUCUAAAGCAGAGAGGAAAAAUAAACUCAAAGUAUAGCUCAUAAAUGACAAGCUGACAGUCAACCAUCAGACAUAUGUAUGGAACGACGCUACAAAUGAGCGGGUUCUGCUCUCUUCACAGCUUGCUGCGGAUGCUCGUACCCCAAACUGACGCACUGCCUCCAGAGGCCCGAAUCCUUCACACUUUAUUAUUUUGAGCACAAAUGCGCCGAGCAUAGUUAAUAAAGCGGAAUCACUUGAAAUAGCUUUAUUUACCCACAAUCCACACGUAGCCAUCAUAACAGAGACUUGGCUAAACCCUGAUAUUAGUAAUCGCUGUGUCUUCCCUCCUUCGUACUCUAUUUUCAGGCGUGACAGAGAAUCGUGUGGGGGUGGUGUCGCUGUAUUAUUGAAACAGAACAUUAACGUCACACUCUUGCAACAAAUUGAUAACCAUGAAAAUGUCUUUUCAUGGCCACACAUUCAUACUAUGCGCAAUAUACAGACAACAAAAUUCUGAAAAUGAGCACCAGCGCAGGCUGCAUGAUCAUCUUUCGUCGUUUGGCAAGAAGAACAUAAUUCUUGCCGGAGACUUCAAUGUUCCUAGCAUUGAUUGGUGUAAGGGAAGUUUCGAAUCGAUGCAUGACUCGGUCGUUCUUUGUGAUAUUAUGUUUGCUCAUAACCUAAAACAACUCGUCAUGGAGCCAACUAGAGUACGCGGAUCUGCUAGCUCUAUCCUUGACUUUAUGUUUAUUAACAAUAGCACUUCUGAUACAUUAACCACAGUAUACAAAGGCAUAUUUCACCAUAAGAUAGUAGUAGUAGCCUUCGCUCUAUUGAAAUGCAAUCAACCUAACACAAUAAAACAUACGACCAUAAAGGACUACUCAAAAGCUAGAGACGAGUUGGUACUGGAUUACUUAGAUAUAGCAUUCGAAAAGUUUUCAGCUGAGAAUGUGCCAGAAUUAUGGGCAAUAUUCAAAGAGCACUGCCAUUAUUGCAUUAAUAACGUUAUUCCUGAUAAAAAGAUACGCGUGAAGAAGAUAAAUUUGUGGAUUAACCGGCACAUCAUCCAAUUGGAAAGAAAAAUAAAGCGUCUAAAAAGAACUAAGUCCCAGAAGCUGGUUUCUUGGGAACAUUGACGGUUGAAUUGUCCGCAAGUGUUCGUUCGGCGAGGCAGCGUUACUUUACUGAGACCCUCCUACAGUUUAUACAGAAGAAGCAAAGUAAAUUCUUGAAACAUGUCCGGUAUUCCAGUCAGCCCAUUAAACAGAUAGUUGUAAAUGUCAAUGUCAUCUGAUGUACAGAAGAAAUGGCAGCGCACUUUAACUCCUACUUUCACUCUGUGUUUUUAGUGGCGAUGGUGAUGUUAACAAUGACAACAAUUAUUGUGAUUCUUCAUGCGAACCCGUUAUUUUAGUUUCUCAUGAGUGCAUCAUGGAGAUGCUUCUUAGACUUGAUACGAAGUGUUCUGCUGGUCCUGAUGGUAUACUCAAUGCUUUCUUAAAGCGCUAUGCAGAAUCCUUAGCCCAGUUCCUAACCAAAAUAUUUCGUGAAUCAAUGUUAUCAGCUUUAUUACUCCCUGAAUGGCUUACAGCCAUAAUUGUGCCUGUUCACAAGACCGGAGGCGGCCUUUUGGUAGGGAACUACCGUCCUAUCUCCUAACCUGUUCCUCCUGUAAACUUAUCGAACACAUAGUCGCAAAUCAUAUAUUGUGGAUUGUAAAUACAAGUUCCGCACUUAGUCCAUGUCAUCAUGGUUUCAGAAAGGGAUUUUCAACCGUUACACAAUUAACAACAGGUGUUCACACGCUUAUGGCAUAUUGGAUAAUUCCGGACAAAUUGACGUAUUAUACCUCAAUUUCAGUAAAGCAUUCGACAAGGUUCCUCACGAUAAACUACUUCUGAAGCUUAAGGUAACUGGACUACCGGCACCACUCAUAAAAUGUUUUGCUGCUGAUUUAAAACAGAGAAAACAAUAUGUCGAAAUUGACGGUUUUUGUUCCCCUCCACUUGAGGUCACAUCAGGUGUUCCGCAGGGGAGUUUACUGGGACCUCUAUUUUUCUUGUAUUAUAUAAAUGAUUUGGCCUCCUUUAUUGAUGAAAACGUCAAAAUUAACCUUUUUUCCGAUUAUUACAUGUUCAAAGAAAUAAAUUCUGUCUUAGAUCAAAGCCUGCUGAAUACUGCUUUGCAUGAUGUUUUGUCUUGAUCUGACAAACGGGGGAUGUCACUGAACUUUGAGAAAACACUAUUUAUGAGCUUCACCAGGAAGAAGACGCAUCUUACGUUUCACUGGGCCCUCCACACUACAUCCGUGACUAAGGUCACAAAAUACAAAUAGUUAGGCGUAAUCGUUAGCAACCAGCUUACUUGGAGUGAUUACUUGUACUUUAUAACCUCAUCGGCUAUGAAAAAACUCGGGUUUUUAAGACACAAGUUGAGGGAAGCACCUGCCAGUGUGAAUAAAUUAGCUUAUGAAUUUGUUGUUAAUCCAAAACUUGGGUAUGCCGCUGUAGUGUGGGAUGCUCACACGAAAAAAUACAUUUCACAGAUUGAGAAGGUUCAAAGGCGCGCCGUGCGAUUCAUUUACAACAAAUACAGGAAUUCUGACUCACCAUCUCUCCUCAUGAAAACUAAUCAAAUUAAACUUCUCUGUACCGGAAGAAAAAUACCGAGAAUAGAAUUUUUGCACUCCUUGUUACAUGGAAAGCUCGGCAUUCCGGCCACACCAUAUGUCACGCCGGCUUUAACCCCUAAAACACGAUACACACACACAACUAUAGCUUAACUGCUCAUUUCACAAACACAAAUUCCCCUAAGUGCUCAUUUUUUCCGGAAACAAUAACUGACUGAAAUUCACUACCUAAAGAGCUUUUCAAAUGUGGAAACCUUAAAAAGGCCAUUACCGAUAUUUUUUACCCUCUAAUACAGAGUUUUGCCAGUUGCAUUGGGAUCCAUUUGGAGGUGCCAGACCUGUAUAUGAAUUUGGAAGUGUUUUAUAUCUACAUGCAUGCUUCUUAACAUAUAUGUACAUAGCUGUUUGCACAAUGCAUUGUAUUCCUUCUUUGAAUUAGCCCUUCCUGCUUGGACCAAAAAGGUCUGCAGUAUUAUGUAAAUAAAAAACAUAAAUAAAAGUGCCUGAGAACAGA